This 168-nucleotide microRNA precursor is filed under the name Pelobates cultripes (western spadefoot toad). Lineage: Eukaryota; Metazoa; Chordata; Amphibia; Anura; Pelobatidae. The record is from RNAcentral.
GCAGACACAUUCCAGCCAAUCAGCAGCAGACCCUCCCUCCCAGACCCUCCCACCUCCUGGACAGCUCACUAAGAAUGCACCUUCACAAUGAAUGUAAAAUGGAUGCUGUCCAGGAGGUGGGAGGGUAUGGGAGGGAGGGUCUGCUGCUGAUUGGCUGGAAUGUGUCUG